CGGAGGAAAAGAAACUAACAAGGAUUCCCCUAGUAACGGCGAGUGAAGCGGGAAGAGCUCAAAUUUGAAAUCUAGUAGCCUUCGGCUGCUCGAGUUGUAAUCUAGAGAAGUGUUUUCCGUGCCGGCCCAUGUACAAGUCCCUUGGAACAGGGCGUCAUAGAGGGUGAGAAUCCCGUCCUUGACAUGGACCCCCGGUGCUCUGUGAUACACUUUCAACGAGUCGAGUUGUUUGGGAAUGCAGCUCAAAAUGGGUGGUGAAUUCCAUCUAAAGCUAAAUAUUGGCGAGAGACCGAUAGCGAACAAGUACCGUGAGGGAAAGAUGAAAAGCACUUUGGAAAGAGAGUUAAACAGUACGUGAAAUUGUUGAAAGGGAAACGAUUGAAGUCAGUCAUGCUCUUUGGUAUUUAUAUCAUUGAGUGGGGUCAACAUCAGUUUUGAGCGAUGGAUAAAGGCACUAGGAAGGUAGCACUCUCGGGUGAACUUAUAGCCUAGCGUCAUAUACAUUGUUUGGGACUGAGGAACGCAGCAUGCCUUUAUGGCCGGGAUUCGUCCACGUACAUGCUUAGGAUGUUGACAUAAUGGCUUUAAACGACCCGUCU
This 599-nucleotide ribosomal RNA is filed under the name Naganishia diffluens. RNAcentral's name for it is "partial large subunit ribosomal RNA". It matches the Rfam family "Eukaryotic large subunit ribosomal RNA", at positions 51 to 654 of the family's 3401-position model. Lineage: Eukaryota; Fungi; Basidiomycota; Tremellomycetes; Filobasidiales; Filobasidiaceae. The record is from RNAcentral.